AGACACUAGAAAGGAGAGAACCUCAAUUGCUGAGGCCCGUGCUUCGCUCUGUGUCCUUUGUCCUAUAGCAGGGGCCUCCCCUAAUUGGGGACGUGGUCACCAUGUUCUCCUGCACAAAGGCCUAUGAAGACCAGAAUUACUCAGCUCUGAAGCGGGCCUGUCUGCGCAGGAAGGUGCUGUUCGAGGACCCCCACUUCCCUGCCACCGACGACUCACUCUACUAUAAGGGUACCCCAGGGCCCACAGUCAGGUGGAAGCGGCCUAAGGAUAUCUGCGAUGAUCCCCGGCUCUUCGUCGAUGGCAUCAGCUCGCAUGACCUGCACCAGGGCCAGGUGGGCAACUGCUGGUUUGUGG
RNAcentral lists this long non-coding RNA (354 nucleotides) under Rattus norvegicus (Norway rat). Its description in RNAcentral is "long non-coding RNA NONRATT002942". Lineage: Eukaryota; Metazoa; Chordata; Mammalia; Rodentia; Muridae. The record is from RNAcentral.